This 483-nucleotide ribosomal RNA is filed under the name uncultured bacterium. RNAcentral's name for it is "partial 16S ribosomal RNA". It matches the Rfam family "Bacterial small subunit ribosomal RNA", at positions 30 to 506 of the family's 1533-position model. The record is from RNAcentral.
AUUGAACGCUGGCGGCAGGCCUAACACAUGCAAGUCGAGCGGAUGAAGGGAGCUUGCUCCUGGAUUCAGCGGCGGACGGGUGAGUAAUGCCUAGGAAUCUGCCUGGUAGUGGGGGAUAACGUCCGGAAACGGGCGCUAAUACCGCAUACGUCCUGAGGGAGAAAGUGGGGGAUCUUCGGACCUCUCGCUAUCAGAUGAGCCUAGGUCGGAUUAGCUAGUUGGUGGGGUAAAGGCCUACCAAGGCGACGAUCCGUAACUGGUCUGAGAGGAUGAUCAGUCACACUGGAACUGAGACACGGUCCAAACUCCUACGGGAGGCAGCAGUGGGCAAUAUUGGACAAUGGGCGAUAGCCUGAACCAGCCAUGCCGCGUGUGUGAAGAAGGUCUACGGAUUGUAAAGCACUUUAAGUUGGGAGGAAGGGCAGUAAGUUAAUACCUUGCUGUUUUGACGUUACCAACAGAAGAAGCACCGGCUAACUUCGU